AUGUUCUAGAUUAUUCUAGUAAGCAAGAGAGAUGGCUGGAGCAUGCUAGACAAUUCUAGCAUGUUAUAAAGUUGAUGGAAGAAGCUAGAGAGUACUAGCUUCCUUGGUUGCAAAUGGAAAGAUCUAGAAGCCACACUUUUGUGGCUAGUCUAGAUCUUUCUAUGCUAGAGGUUUGAAGAAUACACUAGAAACUAGUAGAAUGCCAAACCCUCACCUAUAAAUAUGGGUGUGAUGUUGUAGUGAACCAACCAAUCAAGAGAGUAGUGAGUAGCAAAGGAUCAAGUCCAAAGCUAGAGUUCCACUCCAAGAAUGAGAGUGAGAGUGUUCCACUACACAUUGUUGAGAGUGUUCCACUACACAUUGUGUGAGUGAAGUUUAGAAGGAUAGAAAGUGUGUGUCAUACUUUCUUGUAUCCAUCAAGCCUUGUCUUUGGCUUGGUAAGACUACUCUUGUUGUAUUCAUUUUUUUCAUAUAGUGAAGAUUCCUUGUUUGGUGGACGUAGGCAUAAAUUGCCGAACCACAUAAAUUCUUGGCGUCCAUUUUCUACUUUACCUUGUGCAUUCUCUAUCUUGUAGUACCGACAUUCCUAACAAAAAUUGCG
This 601-nucleotide small RNA is filed under the name Malus domestica (apple). RNAcentral's name for it is "sRNA MD03G0069300". Lineage: Eukaryota; Viridiplantae; Streptophyta; Magnoliopsida; Rosales; Rosaceae. The record is from RNAcentral.